This 296-nucleotide ribosomal RNA is filed under the name uncultured bacterium. Its description in RNAcentral is "partial 16S ribosomal RNA". It matches the Rfam family "Bacterial small subunit ribosomal RNA", at positions 790 to 1084 of the family's 1533-position model. The record is from RNAcentral.
GUAGUCCACGCCCUAAACGAUGCAUAUUUGGUGUGGGUCAUUCAUUUGAUCCGUGCCGGAGCUAACGCGUUAAAUAUGCCGCCUGGGGAGUACAGUCGCAAGGCUGAAACUCAAAGGAAUUGACGGGGGCCCGCACAAGCGGUGGAGCAUGUGGUUCAAUUCGACGCAACGCGAAGAACCUUACCUAGGCUCGAACGGCUUUAGACAAUCCUCAGAAACGAGGACUUCCCGCAAGGGACUGGAGUCGAGGUGCUGCAUGGCUGUCGUCAGCUCGUGUCGUGAGAUGUUGGGUUAAG